RNAcentral lists this ribosomal RNA (374 nucleotides) under uncultured bacterium. RNAcentral's name for it is "bacterial SSU rRNA". It matches the Rfam family "Bacterial small subunit ribosomal RNA", at positions 28 to 405 of the family's 1533-position model. The record is from RNAcentral.
GAUGAACGCUAGCGGCAGGCCUAACACAUGCAAGUCGAGGGGCAGCACGUCUUCGGAUGGUGGCGACCGGCGCACGGGUGCGUAACGCGUAUGCAACCUACCUCUUACAGUGGGAUAGCCCAGAGAAAUUUGGAUUAAUACCGCAUAGUAUACAGAUUCAGCAUUGGGACUGUAUUAAACAUUUAUGGGUAAGAGAUGGGCAUGCGUUCUAUUAGUUAGUUGGAGUGGUAACGGCACCCCAAGACAGCGAUAGAUAGGGGCCCUGAGAGGGGGAUCCCCCACACUGGUACUGAGACACGGACCAGACUCCUACGGGAGGCAGCAGUGAGGAAUAUUGGACAAUGGCGAGAGCCUGAUCCAGCCAUGCGCGUGCA